This 1030-nucleotide long non-coding RNA is filed under the name Sus scrofa (pig). Its description in RNAcentral is "lncRNA (ENSSSCG00025051207.1)". Lineage: Eukaryota; Metazoa; Chordata; Mammalia; Artiodactyla; Suidae. The record is from RNAcentral.
GUUGCGGCCGCGCGUCCGGCCUCGGGGCCAGCGGAGCCGAGUGGUCAAAUGCAGCGCCAACCCCAUCUUCAACGAGGACUUCUUCUUUGAUGGGCUCGGUCCACCAGACCUGGCCACUCGCAGUCUGAGGGCCAAGGUGCUGGACAGGGGCGCGGGGUUCCGCAGGGACGUGCUGCUGGGGGAGUGUGAGACGCCCCUUAUUGCCUUGCUGCCUCCCUUGGGUGGUGGGCUAGGUCCCGGGACCUCCCUGGCACCUGCCCAUCUCAGCCUUUAGCCUGAGAGACUGUCUCGCCCACUGGAUCUUCCCAUCUGCGGGGCAUGUAUUUAUUUUUGCUAAUAAAAUGCUCGUUUGUCUCUAGCGGGAUCUCUCCCCUUAUUGGCAUAUCCUGGGCUUUUAGAACUGCAGCCUAUGCUCCCUCUGCCCUGGCCAUACAAGGGACACUGACACUAGUUCUGUAGGUCUGGGCUGGACGGGUCCUAGGUUCCCUGUUCAGCAAGGCCCCUGCCCCUUUAGGGGGCCGUCCAAUUACUGAGUCACUCCAGAAAAAAGCUCUGUGGCUGAAACCAUCAUAAGCCACCUUCCCCUGGGGUUCCUUGGGGCUGCACAAGGGGAAGCCAGCACUCCCCACCCAUCUACCGCACCACUUCGGCCCACAUCUGUUCUGAAGAGAGACGAAACUUCUGCACCUUGGGAGUGAGUCAGGAGAUGUCAGACUAGCACACCACGCCUUUGGGUGUUCUCUCUCUUGCCUUCUGCACCUGUGCCACUCUGAGGGGUAAGGCUGGAGCCAAGAGCCAGACCAAUCUCAAUGUCCCAGGGACUAAGGGCUUGGGAGAGGAGAGCGUCCCUCUGAACUGCGCGUGCUGUUCUCAGGGAUGCCCGGAAAGGGCUACCGGGUGAGUAGGAGGAGAAUGUGGAAGAUGGAUAAAUGUAGGUCACAUCGUGUUUACCACCUACCUGAAUGUCCCUGACGUCAGCAGUGACCUUCUUCUCACUCACCUCACCUUCCCUGGAGCUGGUUCCUCUUGG